GGGCUUAGAUGAUGGGUCUUA
This 21-nucleotide non-coding RNA is filed under the name Arabidopsis thaliana (thale cress). Lineage: Eukaryota; Viridiplantae; Streptophyta; Magnoliopsida; Brassicales; Brassicaceae. The record is from RNAcentral.